Etheostoma cragini (Arkansas darter) is the source of this 120-nucleotide long non-coding RNA. RefSeq lists it as uncharacterized. NCBI's taxonomy places the organism in Eukaryota, Metazoa, Chordata, Actinopteri, Perciformes, Percidae. The transcript is spliced from 3 exons. The record is from RefSeq and is a predicted model, not a curated record.
CAAUGUUACAUACCUUUUUAGGUGACCUUAAGGAACAGUCUAAAAUACCCUAUAUAAUCAUUCUAUCACCUAAUUAAUACCCAGAAUUGGCCUUUGUAUUCUAUGCAAAAAAGGUAUGUA